UACGAAGGGGGCUAGCGUUGCUCGGAAUCACUGGGCGUAAAGCGCACGUAGGCGGCUUUUUAAGUCAGGGGUGAAAUCCUGGAGCUCAACUCCAGAACUGCCUUUGAUACUGGAAAGCUCGAGUCCGGAAGAGGUGAGUGGAACUGCGAGUGUAGAGGUGAAAUUCGUAGAUAUUCGCAAGAACACCAGUGGCGAAGGCGGCUCACUGGUCCGGUACUGACGCUGAGGCACGAAAGCGUGGGGAGCAAACAGG
Molecule: ribosomal RNA, 253 nt
Filed under: uncultured bacterium
Lineage: Bacteria
Description: partial 16S ribosomal RNA
Rfam family: Bacterial small subunit ribosomal RNA
Source: RNAcentral